CGCACUUCGGAUGUACUAAGCCCUGCGGAGUCCUUGUAGUAUACAAGGCAGACGGCUCAGUAACGCGUAGUCCCUUAACCUAUGGACGGGAAUAACCUCGGGAAACUGAGUAUCCUGCCCGAUAGAACAUUAUGCCUGGAAUGGUUUAUGUUCCAAAUGAUUUAUCGCCGUAGGAUGGGACUGCGGCCUAUCAGUUUGUUGGUGAGGUAAUGGCCCACCAAGACUAUUACAGGUACGGGCUCUGAGAGGAGUAGCCCGGAGAUGGGUACUGAGACACGGACCCAGGCCCUAUGGGGCGCAGCAGGCGAGAAAACUUUGCAAUGUGCGAAAGCACGACAAGGUUAAUCCGAGUGGUUUCUGCUAAAGAGACCUUUUGUCGGUCCUAGAAACACCGAUGAAUAAGGGGUGGGCAAGUUCUGGUGUCAACCGCCGCGGUAAAACCAGCACCUCAUGUGGUCAGGAUGAUUAUUGGGCCUAAAGCAUCCGUAACCGGCUCUGUUAGUUUUCGGUUAAAUCUGUACGCUCAACGUACAGGCUGCCGGGAAUACUGCAGAGCUAGGGAGUGGGAGAGGUAGACCGUACUCGGUAGGAAGGGGUAAAAUCCUUUGAUCUAUUGAUGACCACCUGUGGCGAAAGCGGUCUACCAGAACACUUCCGACGGUGAGGGAAAAACACUGGGGGAACAAACCAGAUUAAAUACCCGGAGAAACCCCAUUGUAAACAAUACAAACUCACUGAUUGCCUUGGCUUGUGGCCUAAUGGAAUGGUUACAGGGAAGCCAUUUUAUUGGCCCCCGGGGAAAUUCUAACCCAAUUAUCAAACUCCAAAGAAAUUG
This 835-nucleotide ribosomal RNA is filed under the name uncultured archaeon. RNAcentral's name for it is "bacterial SSU rRNA". It matches the Rfam family "Archaeal small subunit ribosomal RNA", at positions 28 to 868 of the family's 1478-position model. The record is from RNAcentral.